CCAUUGAAAGCUAUCUAAGCGCAAGUCUUUUAAACUUGAGAUGUGUAAUUUUACACUCAAAGGA
This 64-nucleotide transfer RNA is filed under the name Lepidonotopodium sp. YZ-2018. RNAcentral describes it as "tRNA-Lys". The record is from RNAcentral. Lineage: Eukaryota; Metazoa; Annelida; Polychaeta; Phyllodocida; Polynoidae.